GCUAGAAACGAUGUUGCAAAUCUGUAGUACUUGCAGCCAGGGAGGUGGGGCUGGUGGAUUGCUUGAGUUUAGGAGUUCUGAACUGCAGUAAGACAAAGUCGUUUGAGUGUCUGAACUAAGUCUGGCACCAAUAUGGUGAACCUCUGGAACCAGAAGCCACCAAGCUGCCUAAGGAAAGGUGAACCAGCCCAGGUCAGAAAUGGAACAGGUCAACAUUUCCAGGCUGAUCAGCAGUGGAAUCAGGCCUAUUUGCUGCUGCACUUCCAGCCUGUGUAAGAUGGAGGUAGG
This 288-nucleotide signal recognition particle RNA is filed under the name Phascolarctos cinereus (koala). RNAcentral describes it as "Metazoan signal recognition particle RNA (ENSPCIG00000026189.2)". It matches the Rfam family "Metazoan signal recognition particle RNA". Rfam says of the family: The signal recognition particle (SRP) is a universally conserved ribonucleoprotein. Lineage: Eukaryota; Metazoa; Chordata; Mammalia; Diprotodontia; Phascolarctidae. The record is from RNAcentral.